UACAGAGGUGGCAAGCGUUGUUCGGAAUUACUGGGCGUAAAGGGCGCGUAGGCGGCCUUCUAAGUCAGACGUGAAAUCCCCCGGCUUAACCUGGGAACUGCGUCUGAUACUGGAGGGCUUGAGUGCGGGAGAGGGAUGUGGAAUUCCAGGUGUAGCGGUGAAAUGCGUAGAUAUCAGGAGGAACACCGGUGGCGAAGGCGGAUCUCUGGGCCGUAACUGACGCUGAGGAGCGAAAGCAUGGGGAGCGAACAGG
RNAcentral lists this ribosomal RNA (253 nucleotides) under uncultured bacterium. Its description in RNAcentral is "partial 16S ribosomal RNA". It matches the Rfam family "Bacterial small subunit ribosomal RNA", at positions 524 to 776 of the family's 1533-position model. The record is from RNAcentral.